RNAcentral lists this ribosomal RNA (301 nucleotides) under Bacillus cereus. RNAcentral's name for it is "bacterial SSU rRNA". It matches the Rfam family "Bacterial small subunit ribosomal RNA", at positions 147 to 441 of the family's 1533-position model. Lineage: Bacteria; Bacillati; Bacillota; Bacilli; Caryophanales; Bacillaceae. The record is from RNAcentral.
CUCCGGGAAACCGGGGCUAAUACCGGAUAACAUUUUGAACCGCAAGGUUCCAAAUUGAAAGGCGGCUUCUGCUGUCACUUAUGGAUGGACCCGCGUCGCACUAGCUAGUUGGUGAGGUAACGGCUCACCAAGGCAACGAUGCGUAGCCGACCUGAGAGGGUGAUCGGCCACACUGGGACUGAGACACGGCCCAGACUCCUACGGGAGGCAGCAGUAGGGAAUCUUCCGCAAUGGACGAAAGUCUGACGGAGCAACUCCGCGUGAGUGAUGAAGGCUUUCGGGUCGUAAAACUCUGUUGUUA